UCGGGAAUUUUGGACAAUGGGCGAAAGCCUGAUCCAGCCAUGCCGCGUGUGUGAAGAAGGUCUUCGGAUUGUAAAGCACUUUAAGUUGGGAGGAAGGGCCAUUACCUAAUACGUGAUGGUUUUGACGUUACCGACAGAAUAAGCACCGGCUAACUACGUGCCAGCAGCCGCGGUAAUACGUAGGGUGCAAGCGUUAAUCGGAAUUACUGGGCGUAAAGCGUGCGCAGGCGGUUAUGUAAGUCAGAUGUGAAAUCCCCGGGCUCAACCUGGGAACUGCAUCCAAAACUGCAUGGCUAGAGUACGGUAGAGGGUGGUGGAAUUUCCUGUGUAGCGGUGAAAUGCGUAGAUAUAGGAAGAACACCAGUGGCGAAGGCGGCCAACUGGCUCGAUACUGACGCUGAGGUGCGAAAGCGUGGGGAGCAAACAGGAUUAGAUACCCAUGUAGUCCCUGAGCGGGCUGGCAAGGCGCAU
RNAcentral lists this ribosomal RNA (471 nucleotides) under uncultured bacterium. RNAcentral describes it as "bacterial SSU rRNA". It matches the Rfam family "Bacterial small subunit ribosomal RNA", at positions 355 to 825 of the family's 1533-position model. The record is from RNAcentral.